Molecule: long non-coding RNA, 790 nt
Organism: Camponotus floridanus (Florida carpenter ant)
Lineage: Eukaryota; Metazoa; Arthropoda; Insecta; Hymenoptera; Formicidae
Exons: 3
Source: RefSeq, a predicted model, not a curated record
AACGACGAACGUAAACCAGCUCCGAAUUCCUCGGCGUGUGACGUAUUAUUAUUUAUAUUCGAUGAUCGUGUCAGUCAUUCAGCGGGAUUCGAACGAGCGGGUAGUGAUAUCUGCCAUUCUGUGUUACAUCGUAAUAUAUAUUUCGCGAAAUAUGAUUGUGAUAAAUACUUAAAAAUAUCGAGUGCUAAUUUUGCCAUUAAUGUGCGCGAUCGUAAUUAAUCACGUCUCUACGCGUUAGUGAGAGUGUAACGUGUCUGAAGAGAGAGAGAAUCAACAAAGAGAAGAGGAGGAAGCGUAAGAGACAUCGGGCGAUGGUGAAACAACGAUUAAUGUUACAUAAUAGAGCUCCGCUGCUGCACAUCAGAUCGAGGGCACACGGUACAAUUUGGCGCAAUUUAGCAGCAGCUUUCAAUUAGCCGAUUGAGGUUGCCCCGAGAGUCUCUUUGGCAUCCAAGACCUUGUUUCGCGAAGAUGAGCAAAAGCAAGGACAUUCAUUAUCUCGUAGUGACGCCGUUCACCGUUAUCAGUGCGGAAGAUGGGGCACUGUUAAGGCCAGGGAGCCGUUGUGUCGUGGAAACGGAAGAAAGGAGGGGGAGGAAGCAUCGGGAUGAACGAGGAGGCCAAGAAAUGAAGAGCACUUCUCUUUACUCUACGAGGUGUGAAGGUUGCGGAGGCGUGAAGUGGGAAGGUUGGACUAGGUUUCCACAGUCGCGGAACCGAGACGCAAGGAGGAGGUGGCGGCGGCGUCGGCUGGCGAUGGCAAACGCGUCGAGGGUGAAGGUAGGUGGUG